UUUUUGCGUUAGCGGUAGUAGCGGCAUCCUUUUUUUACUUCUUUUUCAAGUAAAAAAAGAUAUAGCGAAUAACGCGUUGCUUU
RNAcentral lists this small RNA (83 nucleotides) under Mesonia phycicola. Its description in RNAcentral is "Mesonia sp. MDSW-25 Flavo-1 RNA". It matches the Rfam family "Flavo-1 RNA". The record is from Rfam by way of RNAcentral. Lineage: Bacteria; Pseudomonadati; Bacteroidota; Flavobacteriia; Flavobacteriales; Flavobacteriaceae.